GGGCCCGCACAAGCGGUGGAGCAUGUGGUUUAAUUCGAUGCAACGCGAAGAACCUUACCAGGGCUUGACAUACUACAAAUUCUUUAGAGAUAGAGAAGUGCCUUCGGGAAUGUAGAUACAGGUGGUGCAUGGCUGUCGUCAGCUCGUGUCGUGAGAUGUUGGGUUAAGUCCCGCAACGAGCGCAACCCUUGUUUUUAGUUACUAAUUCGUUAGGUUUUCUAGAAAGACUGCCGGUGACAAACCGGAGGAAGGUGAGGAUGACGUCAAGUCAGCAUGCCCCUUAUGCCCUGGGCUACACACGUGCUACAAUGGUUAAGACAAAGAGUUGCGAGCUCGCAAGAGUCAGCUAAUCUCAUAAACUUAGCCUAAGUUCAGAUUGUAGGCUGCAACUCGCCUGCAUG
Molecule: ribosomal RNA, 401 nt
Filed under: uncultured bacterium
Lineage: Bacteria
Description: bacterial SSU rRNA
Rfam family: Bacterial small subunit ribosomal RNA
Source: RNAcentral